This 134-nucleotide small nucleolar RNA is filed under the name Marmota marmota marmota (Alpine marmot). RNAcentral describes it as "Small nucleolar RNA SNORA63 (ENSMMMG00000008865.1)". Lineage: Eukaryota; Metazoa; Chordata; Mammalia; Rodentia; Sciuridae. The record is from RNAcentral. RNAcentral also lists the same sequence under 1 other name.
GAGCAGGAUUCAGACUAGAAUAUAGCUGUUAAGUGCUGUAUUAUUCCCCCUGCUCAAAAUAAAGUUGUGGUUUCUUCUUACCUAUACCUUUCUGUUACACCCAAAUAGCAGCUAGGGCACUUGGUCACAUACAU